This 604-nucleotide ribosomal RNA is filed under the name uncultured bacterium. Its description in RNAcentral is "bacterial SSU rRNA". It matches the Rfam family "Bacterial small subunit ribosomal RNA", at positions 888 to 1498 of the family's 1533-position model. The record is from RNAcentral.
GCAAGAUUAAAACUCAAAGGAAUAGACGGGGACCCGCACAAGUGGUGGAGCAUGUGGUUUAAUUCGAAGAUACGCGAAGAACCUUACCUAGCCUUGACAUAUUUUAGAACUCACCAGAGAUGGAGAGGUGCCUUCGGGAGCUAAUUUACAGGUGCUGCACGGCUGUCGUCAGCUCGUGUCGUGAGAUGUUGGGUUAAGUCCCGCAACGAGCGCAACCCUCGUCACUAGUUACUAACGGUUCGGCCGAGGACUCUAGUGAGACUGCCUUCGUAAGAAGGAGGAAGGUGAGGACGACGUCAAGUCAUCAUGGCCCUUACGGCUAGGGCAACACACGUGCUACAAUGGCCAGGACAGUGAGAAGCGAUACCGCGAGGUGGAGCAAAUCUAUAAACCUGGUCUCAGUUCGGAUUGUAGUCUGCAACUCGACUACAUGAAGCUGGAAUCACUAGUGAUCGUAGAUCAGCUAUGCUACGGUGAAUACGUUCCCGGGUCUUGUACUCACCGCCCGUCACACCAUGGGAGUUGAUUUCACCCGAAGCGGGGAAGCUAAACUGGCUACCCUCCACGGUGGAAUUAGCGACUGGGGUGAAGUCGUAACAAGGUA